GUAGAUCUUUAUACACGUACACUGAAGUUCUUUGACUGUGUAUGUGAAAAUUCAAAUUUCAAACUGCGCGAAUACUACUAGCGCCACACGCGGUAGUCAAAGAACUUCAGUGUAUGUGUAUAAAGAUCUAU
RNAcentral lists this microRNA precursor (131 nucleotides) under Phlebotomus papatasi. RNAcentral's name for it is "microRNA mir-iab-4". Lineage: Eukaryota; Metazoa; Arthropoda; Insecta; Diptera; Psychodidae. The record is from RNAcentral.